RNAcentral lists this ribosomal RNA (120 nucleotides) under Haplolejeunea cucullata. RNAcentral describes it as "partial 18S ribosomal RNA". It matches the Rfam family "Eukaryotic small subunit ribosomal RNA", at positions 1716 to 1831 of the family's 1831-position model. The record is from RNAcentral. Lineage: Eukaryota; Viridiplantae; Streptophyta; Jungermanniopsida; Porellales; Lejeuneaceae.
CGCGGCGACGCCGGCGGUUCGCCGCUGGUGUUGUUGUGAGAAGUUCAUUAAACCUUAUCAUUUAGAGGAAGGAGAAGUCGUAACAAGGUUUCCGUAGGUGAACCUGCGGAAGGAUCAUUG